UACGUAGGGUGCGAGCGUUUGUCCGGAAUUAUUGGGCGUAAAGAGCUCGUAGGCGGCUUGUCGCGUCGAAUGUGAAAUCUCAGGGCUCAACUCUGACAUUGCAUUCGAUACGGGCAGGCUCGAGUUCGGUAGGGGAGACUGGAAUUCCUGGUGUAGCGGUUGAAAUGCGCAGAUAUCAGGAGGAACACCGGUGGCGGAAGGCGG
RNAcentral lists this ribosomal RNA (204 nucleotides) under uncultured bacterium. Its description in RNAcentral is "partial 16S ribosomal RNA". It matches the Rfam family "Bacterial small subunit ribosomal RNA", at positions 524 to 724 of the family's 1533-position model. The record is from RNAcentral.